AAUAAACAUUUGAUGCCAUUCUUUAUUAAUGUUUAAAAACUCGGCUUGGUGUCAAUGACUUCUGAUUUGUGCAUGCCAUAUUAAAAUGUUGUACUGCAGAUGCGUUACAUUUUAAUUUCUUUGCAUACUUGCCUACCUUUGCUCUUACAUGUCAAUUUUUUGUCUUAGUACUGCAGAAGCAGUGUUGCAAAAAAUGGAUGACAUGGAGAAGAUGCGUAGACGCCAUAAAAAGGGCUUGGAAGCCUUUGGGGUGUUCAACAAUACUCAAUUGUUCUACAGGCAUCCUCUAAGAGUGGAAGAAAUACCAUCUGCAGAAGCUGUGAGAUAAUGCUGAGCUGCUAAAAUACAUGUCUUAUAGCACAGUCUGUGAACUGACUUAAAAUUCCAUUUAAAACGAGAUCCAGUCAAAUAAACACUUGUUUCAGGACUUGA
This is a non-coding RNA of Coturnix japonica (Japanese quail), 432 nucleotides long. NCBI's taxonomy places the organism in Eukaryota, Metazoa, Chordata, Aves, Galliformes, Phasianidae. The record is from RefSeq and is a predicted model, not a curated record.